Molecule: long non-coding RNA, 592 nt
Filed under: Homo sapiens (human)
Lineage: Eukaryota; Metazoa; Chordata; Mammalia; Primates; Hominidae
Description: HSALNT0395364
Source: RNAcentral
AGCAGGACAGAGACACCAGCCCUGGGAAGCCACUAGGAUUUCUGCAGAGGGCCGUUUCCACAUCAGAAAACUGGGAACCCUUUGUGCACAUAACGCUUGACACGAAGAAGGACCUCGGAGCCAAGUGGGAACCAACACUGUUUAAAGGCAGGAAGCAAAAUCCUACAGUGUCCAAAUGAAAUGUGUGCUGCGAAAGGCGUAAUCUGUGUGUGUUCUCUGCGGCUCACUCCCAGGUGUGCAAACUUGCAGAGUGGGGAACCUUGUUGCCUUCCCCCUACGCUAACUGCCUUUUCGUGACUUUUUCGCAGCUGGCAGUGAGGUGUGCGGGCUCAUCUGUGGCCAAGUGCCCAGGAAAGAGAGGCAGCCCAGUAGAUCGUGCUUCCCGUGAGGGAGACUCGCUGCUGCCAAUGACAGACUCAAAACAUCGUGACCCGGCCACAGGAUCAUGGGUGAGAACGGCUAGAAUCAGAAAACGAGUGACUAUCCUGUAGCCCCAGUCGGACUUGAGGUUCACAUUUCUUGCAUUUUUAUGCUUAAUGACAAUAGUUUUAUUAGUGAGAAGUGGCCUUCUGGAAGUAGAGUAGAAUUCAUU